RNAcentral lists this unclassified non-coding RNA (331 nucleotides) under soil metagenome. RNAcentral describes it as "partial contains 5.8S ribosomal RNA, internal transcribed spacer 2, and large subunit ribosomal RNA". The stretch from base 1 to 120 matches the Rfam family "5.8S ribosomal RNA", at positions 35 to 154 of the family's 154-position model. The record is from RNAcentral.
GUUGAAGAACGUAGCGAAAUGCGAUAAGUAAUGUGAAUUGCAGAAUUCAGUGAAUCAUCGAAUCUUUGAACGCACAUUGCGCCCCCUGGUAUUCCGGGGGGCAUGCCUGUUCGAGCGUCAUUUCACCACUCAAGCCUCGCUUGGUAUUGGGCAACGCGGUCCGCCGCGUGCCUCAAAUCGACCGGCUGGGUCUUCUGUCCCCUAAGCGUUGUGGAAACUAUUCGCCAAAGGGUGUUCGGGAGGCUACGCCGUAAAACAACCCCAUUUCUAAGGUUGACCUCGGAUCAGGUAGGGAUACCCGCUGAACUUAAGCAUAUCAAUAAGCGGAGGA